Molecule: RNA transcript, 1108 nt
Organism: Amborella trichopoda
Lineage: Eukaryota; Viridiplantae; Streptophyta; Magnoliopsida; Amborellales; Amborellaceae
Gene name: ribonuclease H2 subunit C-like protein
Source: RefSeq, a predicted model, not a curated record
GCCGCCUCCUGAAUAAAAGCCGACCACCGGAUGAUAUAAAGGAGAAGCAGUGUGCUGAGAGCGGGGCAAGGAGAAGCUCAAAUGGACGACCAGGAUGGAUUUUGUGGCGAGGAUGCGGCGAUGGUUACCGUCCAUUUAUCUGGAGAAGUUCCUGAUCUCUCAUCGAACGUCCACCAUCUUCCUUGUUGCAUAAAGCACACUGGCCCAUGCCCUGUGUCUCACUACUUCAAGCCCAAGCGCACAGGUGUGGUGGUUGAUGAUCUAAGAGUUGAGGAAGCUGCAUUUAGGGGGAGGAAAUUGCUUGGAACCACACUCACUAUCCCACAUGGCUAUUCUGGCUAUGUCUUGGAAAUGCAUAAUGGGCAGAAAGAGAAAGCUCCAAAGAAUGAAGGAGAGUCGAAUUGCUGGAAGGCACGUGCCACAUUUCAAAACUUUACAUAUUGGAAUCAUGACAGCUUGCCUUCACAGGAUGAUGCAUUUGUUCGUUGUUUCCAUUGGUUUCCUGUAGCCAAUGCUUUGCACAAGCCUGUUGAACCCGAUGAGUUGGCUUCUGCUACUCGAGAAAGCCAAGUAGAGGGUGCACAAACAUCCAAGGACAAGUGACUUAUAACUACAGUAAUUUCUUGCGUCAACUUUAAGCCUUGGGGUGUCUCAUCGUAUUUUUGCGACUUGUAGCAAGUCUGAGGAGAUGCACCUUCGUAUGGAUGCCAUCGAAUAAAGGAUGUGACCACUUGAUAUGAGUGCCACACUCAAGGCAUCCAAGCCUUCUUUUUCUUUUUCAAAGUCUAUUUUGGUGGGUUUGAUGGGAUUUGAACCUUCGAGGUGGUUUUGUCGCCCUCAUAGUAAGGGCAACGAAGCUUGUGCCGACAUGUUUACAUUGUGCUCACACUCUUAUGGCAUGAAAGCUUUCUGAUGAUUGGUUUUUAUGACCAUGAUCAGAAAGACAACAUAAAUUCCUUGCUUUUUAUCAGCCAUUCAAGCUUUUUGCUUUCUGGUUUCCAUGGCCAUAAUAAGAUUGUUAACUCAGAUUUGUUGCUUGGACCAUUAACUAUGUAAACUUUACAUUAAUGAAAGAUAAUGACGACAAAAGCACUAUGUUUUUAUGCGA